This is a long non-coding RNA of Ictalurus punctatus (channel catfish), 2161 nucleotides long. The record is from Ensembl. Lineage: Eukaryota; Metazoa; Chordata; Actinopteri; Siluriformes; Ictaluridae.
CUGCGAAGCGCUCCGUACCGGAAUGGGAAUCCGGGGCAUCAGUCAUUCUGCCAGCAUGUUUACCUAAUACAGCUAAGUGACUGAGGGUUAAAGGCAGUGGUCUAGAUGCUACGUAAAAAUCUGGCAAUGCUGAAGGCGGAAGCUAGUAAAAUCUGGCAACACUGAAGGCGUGAACUAAAUGCAGUUAAUUUGUAUAAUCUGAAUGAUGUAUCUGGAAAAUGAACUUAAACUGGUGCUUAACCCAGCACUGAAUACGUGUUCGUCACCGACUCUGAAUCGGGCCCUGUAAUUUGUAUUUCGUUGAGGUCAGUACAUCAGGCUGGUCGUCUGAGAUCAUUUAACUUUGCACUGUACGCGUGUAUUUUUUUCUAUUUUAGGUUCUGAUUUCAAGCGGAGCUUUUAAAGUUUAUAAAAUGGUUCAUAAAGAUAGCAUUUUAGGGGAAGAACUCAUUUCAGUGUGUCGAAUUGUUAAAAAAUAAAAUAAAAGAAAUAAAUACUACAGCAGCGUUGCUGCACUAUUUCAAGGAAAACAGAUUUCAAAAUCUGAUUAGAUUAAAAAGUCUAAUUAGAAAUCUCAGUUAAACGCUAUUGCUUCGUUAAUCCUAAAAGCAUACGAGGACCCAAUAUGCAAAUGUCUUCUGUUAUUACACUGAAUCAUCAAGAGACGUGGGUGAAUAAGCAUAGGCUUGAGAGCAUUUCCUAUUUGCAUAUUCAUAAAAUCUGAAUUUCUUAAUGAGUAUUCAUUUCACAGAAUAUAUUUGUGAAACCACCACAUCAGUCAAUAUUUAACAUAGAAAAAUAUGUUCCAUCUAACUAUAAUACAGUCUGAUAGAUUUUCUCUUUUUUCUCAGCAUCAAAAUGGCUUGCUUUUCUCCUACAGACAGCUCUCUGGUCUUCAUGUUGGCUUAUCCUUUUUAACAACAAAUGCAGUCUUCACAUGCAAAAGGUUUAACAUAUCUAGAUGUAAAAAUCAGGAAAUAAACACUGAAUUUCUGUUCUAUCGUCUCACUCAUCCUUUGAUCUCGAACACAAAUGUGUUCAAUGUAUAGCAAAAAAUAAAUUAAUAGAACUGGCCUGGCUGUUCCAAUACUUUCGGAGGAGACUGUAGAAGGAUACAGCACACACCGGGGAAUCUGAUCACAUGACACUCGUUUAAAUUUAUUAAGGAGAUUAUUAUCGAAAAUUAGUCUGAUUUACUUCUUACCCAAAUUUCAAAUGAUUUCUUCCAAACAGGAAGAGUAGACUGUCCAAACUGUAAGGAAAGUUCUAACGAGCAUCAAGACAACCAUCGUUAAAUAAGAUGAUACCAUUGAUUUUCUGCAAAAAGACAUAAUUAGUACAUUCUAGAAACAUAUCAGAUUAGUGUUACUGAUUAAAGUUUAAAGUGAACAGAAAAUGAGCUUUGACUCAGAUCCAUGUUCUGAUUAAAGAAUAAAGCAGGUCCUUCUAACCACGUGCCUGAGACCCCGGGGAUGAAAUCCCAGAUUUGGAAAGGUUUUGGAGUGUGUCCGCUAUCUCGCUCCCACACACACACACAGGUUUGCUCACUGGCAUCCGAGCUUCUGCAAAGGGCCAAACCAAUUAGCUCAAUUACAGCAAAACAAGCCGCUUCUCUGCUCUCUGCUUUCGAAAAUGUUCAGGUAUCUCAUUGUUGAUGAUUUAUCCCUCACUCUGCCUACGGAAAACUGUCAUUUAUUUUUAUCAUCAUCAUCCUCCUCCUCCUCUCCUCACAGCUGUGAUCGUCAUGGUGAUGAGAGGGAUUGUCUUAGGUGGUUUUCACACUGGGCAUGUCCGCUGAGGUCCGAAUCCACCUGUCUGGUUUCAGACUCACUUGAUUCUAUCGAACCCCGGGGCAUUCGCAUUCAUCUUACAUCAUCACAAACGCGCAUGGAGAACACAAUACGACUCACCACAUACAUAUAUAUUAUUUUGGUGCUAUUAAGCUACGUUCCCCUGCCCAAUAUACACGUGCCAUGAAAACUACUGAUGUCGUCAUCGGCGAAGACACAUACGCAGGUUAAUUUACUUCCUGAACAAGUGCGGACAGGAGUACGAGUUGCGUUCACAUUCACGGGAAUCGCAUGCAACCGAACCAUCUCCUACAGGCGGUCUCGGGUUCGGUACCGCACGACAGCUUCCACGUUAACGAUUUUUCAUGUCC